Molecule: transfer RNA, 88 nt
Filed under: Cupriavidus taiwanensis
Lineage: Bacteria; Pseudomonadati; Pseudomonadota; Betaproteobacteria; Burkholderiales; Burkholderiaceae
Description: tRNA-Met
Rfam family: tRNA
About the family: Transfer RNA (tRNA) molecules are approximately 80 nucleotides in length. Their secondary structure includes four short double-helical elements and three loops (D, anti-codon, and T loops).
Source: RNAcentral
GGGCCAGACGCCGUGUUGGUUGCAGGCAGCGGACUCAUAAUCCGCCUCCCAAAGGACAUCGUGGGUUCGAAUCCCACCCGGCCCACCA